CGUCGUGACUGCGUGCCUUUUGAAGAAUGAGCCUGCGAGUUUGCGGUGUGUUGCGAGGUUAACCCGGGUGGGGUAGCCGUAGCGAAAGCGAGUCCGAAUAGGGCGUUUGAGUAGCACGCUCAAGACCCGAAGCGGAGUGAUCUAGCCAUGGGCAGGUUGAAGCGGAGGUAAGACUUCGUGGAGGACCGAACCCACCAGGGUUGAAAACCUGGGGGAUGACCUGUGGUUAGGGGUGAAAGGCCAAUCAAACUCCGUGAUAGCUGGUUCUCCCCGAAAUGCAUUUAGGUGCAGCGUCGUGUGUUUCUUGCCGGAGGUAGAGCACUGGAUAGGCGAUGGGCCCUACCGGGUUACUGACCUUAGCCAAACUCCGAAUGCCGGUAAGUGAGAGCGCGGCAGUGAGACUGUGGGGGAUAAGCUCCAUGGUCGAGAGGGAAACAGCCCAGAGCAUCGACUAAGGCCCCUAAGCGUACGCUAAGUGGGAAAGGAUGUGGAGUCGCAGAGACAACCAGGAGGUUGGCUUAGAAGCAGCCACCCUUGAAAGAGUGCGUAAUAGCUCACUGGUCUAGUGAUUCCGCGCCGACAAUGUAGCGGGGCUCAAGCGUACCGCCGAAGUCGUGUCAUUCCAGCAUAUAGGGCCAACGCCUGCUGGGAUGGGUAGGGGAGCGUCGUGUGCCGGGUGAAGCAGCCGCGGAAGCGAGUUGUGGACGGUUCACGAGUGAGAAUGCAGGCAUGAGUAGCGAUACAAACGUGAGAAACGUUUGCGCCGAUUGACCAAGGGUUCCUGGGUCAAGCUGAUCUGCCCAGGGUAAGUCGGGACCUAAGGCGAGGCCGACAGGCGUAGUCGAUGGAUAACCGGUUGAUAUUCCGGUACCCGCUGUGAAGCGUCAAACAUUGAACCAGGCGAUGCUAAGUCCGUGAAGCCGUCCCGGAGCCUUCGGGCAAAGGGAAGUGGUGGAGCCGACG
RNAcentral lists this ribosomal RNA (963 nucleotides) under Streptomyces caniscabiei. RNAcentral's name for it is "partial 23S ribosomal RNA". It matches the Rfam family "Bacterial large subunit ribosomal RNA", at positions 589 to 1536 of the family's 2925-position model. Lineage: Bacteria; Bacillati; Actinomycetota; Actinomycetes; Kitasatosporales; Streptomycetaceae. The record is from RNAcentral.